AUCUAGGUCUCAUUUUCCUGAAUGAAAUGGGGAGUAGUCUUUGAUAAUCUCUAGUUCUUCAUCCUAUUAAAUACUAGCAAAAUACGGUAUGAUCCUCUCUUGUGAUACUGGGCAGCUGCUCAGUCAGCCACAUGAUCACAAAGGUGGCUUCUUUGGCACCAUUUCUCUGAGCAUUUGGAUUCCUGCAACAUGGCCAAUGCCACAUGGUAACCCUGGACUGCGAGCUGGAUGGAUUAAGGGAGGUAUGAGGGAAGAGAUGCUACACCUGGCGUCAACCGAUUCUCAGUUUUCAGACAGAUGACACACUGCAGACUCUGCCUUUUCCUGACCCACAGGGA
Canis lupus familiaris (dog) is the source of this 338-nucleotide long non-coding RNA. RefSeq lists it as uncharacterized. NCBI's taxonomy places the organism in Eukaryota, Metazoa, Chordata, Mammalia, Carnivora, Canidae. The transcript is spliced from 3 exons. The record is from RefSeq and is a predicted model, not a curated record.